RNAcentral lists this ribosomal RNA (2655 nucleotides) under Escherichia coli. RNAcentral's name for it is "partial 23S ribosomal RNA". It matches the Rfam family "Bacterial large subunit ribosomal RNA". The record is from RNAcentral. Lineage: Bacteria; Pseudomonadati; Pseudomonadota; Gammaproteobacteria; Enterobacterales; Enterobacteriaceae.
GGGUUGUGAGGUUAAGCGACUAAGCGUACACGGUGGAUGCCCUGGCAGUCAGAGGCGAUGAAGGACGUGCUAAUCUGCGAUAAGCGUCGGUAAGGUGAUAUGAACCGUUAUAACCGGCGAUUUCCGAAUGGGGAAACCCAGUGUGUUUCGACACACUAUCAUUAACUGAAUCCAUAGGUUAAUGAGGCGAACCGGGGGAACUGAAACAUCUAAGUACCCCGAGGAAAAGAAAUCAACCGAAAAAGAACCUGAAACCGUGUACGUACAAGCAGUGGGAGCACGCUUAGGCGUGUGACUGCGUACCUUUUGUAUAAUGGGUCAGCGACUUAUAUUCUGUAGCAAGGUUAACCGAAUAGGGGAGCCGAAGGGAAACCGAGUCUUAACUGGGCGUUAAGUUGCAGGGUAUAGACCCGAAACCCGGUGAUCUAGCCAUGGGCAGGUUGAAGGUUGGGUAACACUAACUGGAGGACCGAACCGACUAAUGUUGAAAAAUUAGCGGAUGACUUGUGGCUGGGGGUGAAAGGCCAAUCAAACCGGGAGAUAGCUGGUUCUCCCCGAAAGCUAUUUAGGUAGCGCCUCGUGAAUUCAUCUCCGGGGGUAGAGCACUGUUUCGGCAAGGGGGUCAUCCCGACUUACCAACCCGAUGCAAACUGCGAAUACCGGAGAAUGUUAUCACGGGAGACACACGGCGGGUGCUAACGUCCGUCGUGAAGAGGGAAACAACCCAGACCGCCAGCUAAGGUCCCAAAGUCAUGGUUAAGUGGGAAACGAUGUGGGAAGGCCCAGACAGCCAGGAUGUUGGCUUAGAAGCAGCCAUCAUUUAAAGAAAGCGUAAUAGCUCACUGGUCGAGUCGGCCUGCGCGGAAGAUGUAACGGGGCUAAACCAUGCACCGAAGCUGCGGCAGCGACGCUUAUGCGUUGUUGGGUAGGGGAGCGUUCUGUAAGCCUGUGAAGGUGUGCUGUGAGGCAUGCUGGAGGUAUCAGAAGUGCGAAUGCUGACAUAAGUAACGAUAAAGCGGGUGAAAAGCCCGCUCGCCGGAAGACCAAGGGUUCCUGUCCAACGUUAAUCGGGGCAGGGUGAGUCGACCCCUAAGGCGAGGCCGAAAGGCGUAGUCGAUGGGAAACAGGUUAAUAUUCCUGUACUUGRUGUUACUGCGAAGGGGGGACGGAGAAGGCUAUGUUGGCCGGGCGACGGUUGUCCCGGUUUAAGCGUGUAGGCUGGUUUUCCAGGCAAAUCCGGAAAAUCAAGGCUGAGGCGUGAUGACGAGGCACUACGGUGCUGAAGCAACAAAUGCCCUGCUUCCAGGAAAAGCCUCUAAGCAUCAGGUAACAUCAAAUCGUACCCCAAACCGACACAGGUGGUCAGGUAGAGAAUACCAAGGCGCUUGAGAGAACUCGGGUGAAGGAACUAGGCAAAAUGGUGCCGUAACUUCGGGAGAAGGCACGCUGAUACGUAGGUGAAGUCCCUCGCGGAUGGAGCUGAAAUCAGUCGAAGAUACCAGCUGGCUGCAACUGUUUAUUAAAAACACAGCACUGUGCAAACACGAAAGUGGACGUAUACGGUGUGACGCCUGCCCGGUGCCGGAAGGUUAAUUGAUGGGGUCAGCGCAAGCGAAGCUCUUGAUCGAAGCCCCGGUAAACGGCGGCCGUAACUAUAACGGUCCUAAGGUAGCGAAAUUCCUUGUCGGGUAAGUUCCGACCUGCACGAAUGGCGUAAUGAUGGCCAGGCUGUCUCCACCCGAGACUCAGUGAAAUUGAACUCGCUGUGAAGAUGCAGUGUACCCGCGGCAAGACGGAAAGACCCCGUGAACCUUUACUAUAGCUUGACACUGAACAUUGAGCCUUGAUGUGUAGGAUAGGUGGGAGGCUUKGAAGUGUGGACGCCAGUCUGCAUGGAGCCGACCUUGAAAUACCACCCUUUAAUGUUUGAUGUUCUAACGUUGACCCGURAUCCGGGUUGCGGACAGUGUCUGGUGGGUAGUUUGACUGGGGCGGUCUCCUCCUAAAGAGUAACGGAGGAGCACGAAGGUUGGCUAAUCCUGGUCGGACAUCAGGAGGUUAGUGCAAUGGCAUAAGCCAGCUUGACUGCGAGCGUGACGGCGCGAGCAGGUGCGAAAGCAGGUCAUAGUGAUCCGGUGGUUCUGAAUGGAAGGGCCAUCGCUCAACGGAUAAAAGGUACUCCGGGGAUAACAGGCUGAUACCGCCCAAGAGUUCAUAUCGACGGCGGUGUUUGGCACCUCGAUGUCGGCUCAUCACAUCCUGGGGCUGAAGUAGGUCCCAAGGGUAUGGCUGUUCGCCAUUUAAAGUGGUACGCGAGCUGGGUUUAGAACGUCGUGAGACAGUUCGGUCCCUAUCUGCCGUGGGCGCUGGAGAACUGAGGGGGGCUGCUCCUAGUACGAGAGGACCGGAGUGGACGCAUCACUGGUGUUCGGGUUGUCAUGCCAAUGGCACUGCCCGGUAGCUAAAUGCGGAAGAGAUAAGUGCUGAAAGCAUCUAAGCACGAAACUUGCCCCGAGAUGAGUUCUCCCUGACUCCUUGAGAGUCCUGAAGGAACGUUGAAGACGACGACGUUGAUAGGCCGGGUGUGUAAGCGCAGCGAUGCGUUGAGCUAACCGGUACUAAUGAACCGUGAGGCUUAACCUUACAACGCCGAAG